RNAcentral lists this ribosomal RNA (370 nucleotides) under uncultured bacterium. Its description in RNAcentral is "bacterial SSU rRNA". It matches the Rfam family "Bacterial small subunit ribosomal RNA", at positions 28 to 398 of the family's 1533-position model. The record is from RNAcentral.
GAUGAACGCUAGCGGCAGGCUUAAUACAUGCAAGUCGAGGGGCAGCACGGGUAGCAAUACCUGGUGGCGACCGGCAAACGGGUGCGGAACACGUACGCAACCUUCCCAUAACUGGUGAAUAGCCUUCCGAAAGGGAGAUUAAUACACCGUAACAUAACGAAAGGCAUCUUUUGUAUUAUAGGCUUCGGCCGGUUUUGGAUGGGCGUGCGCCUGAUUAGGUAGUUGGCGGGGUAACGCCCACCAAGCCUGCGAUCAGUAACUGGUGUGAGAGCACGACCAGUCACACGGGCACUGAGACACGGGCCCGACUCCUACGGGAGCAGCAGUAAGGAAUAUUGGUCAAUGGACGAAAGUCUGAACCAGCCAUGCC